GAUGAACGCUAGCGAUAGGCUUAACACAUGCAAGUCGAGGGGCAGCAUAAGAAUAGCAAUAUUCUGGUGGCGACCGGCGCACGGGUGAGUAACACGUAUGCAACCUACCCAUAACUGGAGAAUAACCCGUCGAAAGGCGGACUAAUACUGCAUAAUAAUGUUCCCCCGCAUGAGGGAGCAUUUAAAGAUUUAUCGGUUAUGGAUGGGCAUGCGUUCCAUUAGAUAGUUGGUAGGGUAACGGCCUACCAAGUCUACGAUGGAUAGGGGUUCUGAGAGGAAGGUCCCCCACAUUGGUACUGAGACACGGACCAAACACCUACGGGUGGCUG
This 329-nucleotide ribosomal RNA is filed under the name uncultured bacterium. Its description in RNAcentral is "bacterial SSU rRNA". It matches the Rfam family "Bacterial small subunit ribosomal RNA", at positions 28 to 351 of the family's 1533-position model. The record is from RNAcentral.